UACAGAGGUCCCAAGCGUUGUUCGGAUUCACUGGGCGUAAAGGGUGCGUAGGUGGUCGGGUAAGUCUGAUGUGAAAGCUCGCGGCUCAACUGCGAAAUGGCAUUAGAAACUAUCCGGCUAGAGGGAUGGAGGGGGGACUGGAAUUCUCGGUGUAGCAGUGAAAUGCGUAGAUAUCGAGAGGAACACCGGUGGCGAAGGCGAGUCCUUAGACAUCUCCUGACACUGAGGCACGAAAGCUAGGGGAGCAAACAGG
Molecule: ribosomal RNA, 253 nt
Filed under: uncultured bacterium
Lineage: Bacteria
Description: partial 16S ribosomal RNA
Rfam family: Bacterial small subunit ribosomal RNA
Source: RNAcentral